UAACGGGGCUAAACCAUGCACCGAAGCUGCGGCAGCGACGCUGAUGCGUUGUUGGGUAGGGGAGCGUUCUGUAAGCCUGUGAAGGUGGCCUGUGAGGGUUGCUGGAGGUAUCAGAAGUGCGAAUGCUGACAUAAGUAACGAUAAAGCGGGUGAAAAGCCCGCUCGCCGGAAGACCAAGGGUUCCUGUCCAACGUUAAUCGGGGCAGGGUGAGUCGACCCCUAAGGCGAGGCCGAAAGGCGUAGUCGAUGGGAAACGGGUUAAUAUUCCCGUACUUGGUGUUACUGCGAAGGGGGGACGGAGAAGGCUAUGUUGGCCGGGCGACGGUUGUCCCGGUUUAAGCGUGUAGGUGUGUGUUCCAGGUAAAUCCGGUUCACUUUAACACUGAGGCGUGAUGACGAGGCACUACGGUGCUGAAGCAACAAAUGCCCUGCUUCCAGGAAAAGCCUCUAAGCAUCAGGUAACAUCAAAUCGUACCCCAAACCGACACAGGUGGUCAGGUAGAGAAUACCAAGGCGCUUGAGAGAACUCGGGUGAAGGAACUAGGCAAAAUGGUGCCGUAACUUCGGGAGAAGGCACGCUGACAC
Molecule: ribosomal RNA, 585 nt
Filed under: Salmonella enterica
Lineage: Bacteria; Pseudomonadati; Pseudomonadota; Gammaproteobacteria; Enterobacterales; Enterobacteriaceae
Also listed under: 1 other name
Description: partial 23S ribosomal RNA
Rfam family: Bacterial large subunit ribosomal RNA
Source: RNAcentral